This 149-nucleotide unclassified non-coding RNA is filed under the name uncultured Ascomycota. RNAcentral's name for it is "sequence contains ITS1". Lineage: Eukaryota; Fungi; Ascomycota. The record is from RNAcentral.
CAGAGUUGUAAAACUCCCAAACCCAUGUGAACAUACCUGUUGCCUCGGCGGCCUACCCGGUAGCUACAGGGUAGCUGCCCUGUAGUCCGCCGACGGAUUUCAAAACUCUUGUUUUCAGUUGUAUCUCUGAGAAUAAAACAAAUAAAUCA